UAGAUGCGAGAGUAGAGCAUAUCAAUAAGCGGAGGAAAAGAAACUAACAAGGAUUCCCUUAGUAACGGCGAGUGAAGCGGGAAGAGCUCAAAUUUGAAAUCUUCAAGGUUCUACCUUGACGAAUUGUAGUUUAUAGAAGUGUUUUCUGUUAGUAGAGUGGCAAAAGUUCUUUGGAAUAGGACAUCAUAGAGGGUGAGAAUCCCGUAUUUGGUCAUUCUUUCUAGCUUUGUGAUACACUUUCAACGAGUCGGAUUGUUUGGGAAUGCAGUCCAAAAUGGGUGGUAAAUUUCAUCUAAAGCUAAAUAUUGGCGAGAGACCGAUAGCGAACAAGUACCGUGAGGGAAAGAUGAAAAGAACUUUGAAAAGAGAGUUAAACAGUACGUGAAAUUGUCAAAAGGGAAGCGUUUGACACCAGUGUUGUUUUUCCGAAAAUCAAUUACGAAUGUUUUGUUUUUGAGGAGUUAUGACUUCAUCGGCUUGCUUCUCUCUUUACGAAACUUUCUUAAUGCACUUUUCGGUUAACAAGUCAACAUCAAUUUCUUUUGUUGUAAAAGGGUAUGAGGAAGGUGGCUUUCUUUUCGGAGAAAGUGUUUAUAGCCUUGUGCCUCUGCAAUCGGAGAGAUUGAGGUCUGCAGCGUAGAUCCUUCGGGGUUAGAUACGUUUGUGCUAAGUUAUAGCUUUUCAUAGACAACUUGUUGACUAUGUUAAGUCUUGUAGCUUACUCGCUUAUGCUAUUUUACCUACGCUUAGGAUGUUGACACACGCGCGUGCUCG
RNAcentral lists this ribosomal RNA (774 nucleotides) under uncultured Neocallimastigales. RNAcentral describes it as "partial large subunit ribosomal RNA". It matches the Rfam family "Eukaryotic large subunit ribosomal RNA", at positions 22 to 643 of the family's 3401-position model. The record is from RNAcentral. Lineage: Eukaryota; Fungi; Neocallimastigomycota; Neocallimastigomycetes; Neocallimastigales.